GACGAACGCUGGCGGCGUGCUUAACACAUGCAAGUCGAGCGGAAAGGCCCUGCUUUUGUGGGUUGCUCGAGUGGCGAACGGGUGAGUAACACGUGAGUAACCUGCCCUUGACUUUGUGAUAACUUCAGGAAACUGGGGCUCAUACCGGAUAGGAGCUCCUGCUGCAUGGUGGGGGUUGGAAAGUUUCGGCUGUUUGGGAUGGUCUCGCGGCUUAUCAGCUAGUUGGUGGGGUAGGUGUUUACCAAGCCUGUGAAGGGUAGCCGGCCUGGGAGGGGGGACGGGCACAUGGGGCCUGAGGGAGGGAGCAGUAGGCAAUGUGAGGCAGUGGGGGAGAGUAUGGCGGAGUGAGGGGGAGCGAGAGACGGCAAUGUCGCGAGCGGGAAGAUGUGUUAUGAGUGAUGAACAGCUGUGUAAGGAGACGAGGAGGGAGUGACGGUAAUGGGUAAAGAAGCAACGGCUAACUACGUG
This 468-nucleotide ribosomal RNA is filed under the name uncultured bacterium. RNAcentral describes it as "partial 16S ribosomal RNA". It matches the Rfam family "Bacterial small subunit ribosomal RNA", at positions 28 to 507 of the family's 1533-position model. The record is from RNAcentral.